Molecule: ribosomal RNA, 497 nt
Filed under: uncultured bacterium
Lineage: Bacteria
Description: partial 16S ribosomal RNA
Rfam family: Bacterial small subunit ribosomal RNA
Source: RNAcentral
GAUGAACGCUGGCGGCGUGCCUAAUACAUGCAAGUCGAGCGAACAGAUGAGGAACUUGCUCCUCUGACGUUAGCGGCGGACGGGUGAGUAACACGUGGAUAACCUACCUAUAAGACUGGGAUAACUUCGGGAAACCGGAGCUAAUACCGGAUAAUAUAUUGAACCGCAUGGUUCAAUAGUGAAAGACGGUUUUGCUGUCACUUAUAGAUGGAUCCGCGCCGCAUUAGCUAGUUGGUAAGGUAACGGCUUACCAAGGCAACGAUGCGUAGCCGACCUGAGAGGGUGAUCGGCCACACUGGAACUGAGACAAGGUCCAGACUCCUACGGGAGGCAGCAGUAGGGAAUCUUCCGCAAUGGGCGAAAGCCUGACGGAGCAACGCCGCGUGAGUGAUGAAGGUCUUCGGAUCGUAAAACUCUGUUAUUUGGGAAGAACAAAUGUGUAAGUAACUAUGCACGUCUUGACGGUACCUAAUCAGAAAGCCACGGCUAACUACGUG